UCCCGCAGUUAUUGCACCAGGAGUUGUGAACUCUUCAGAUCUCACAAGCCAAGCAGGGCCAGGAUUGUUCACGUAGUUAAAUGGGAGACCAUGAAAGAAAAGCCAGGAUGCUGCAC
RNAcentral lists this ribosomal RNA (116 nucleotides) under Chrysemys picta bellii (western painted turtle). Lineage: Eukaryota; Metazoa; Chordata; Testudines; Emydidae. The record is from RNAcentral.